Molecule: ribosomal RNA, 253 nt
Filed under: uncultured bacterium
Lineage: Bacteria
Description: partial 16S ribosomal RNA
Rfam family: Bacterial small subunit ribosomal RNA
Source: RNAcentral
GACAGAGGGUGCAAACGUUGUUCUGAAUUACUGGGCGUAAAGCGUGCGCAGGCGGUUCGUUGUGUCGGCGGUGAAAGCCCCGGGCUUAACCUGGGAAUGGCCGUUGAAACUGGCGAACUGGAGUGUGGCAGAGGGGGGUGGAAUUCCGCGUGUAGCAGUGAAAUGCGUAGAGAUGCGGAGGAACACCGAUGGCGAAGGCAGCCCCCUGGGCUAACACUGACGCUCAGGCACGAAAGCGUGGGGAGCAAACAGG